GAUGAACGCUGGCGGCGUGCCUAAUACAUGCAAGUCGAGCGAACAGAUGAGGAGCUUGCUCCUCUGACGUUAGCGGCGGACGGGUGAGUAACACGUGGAUAACCUACCUAUAAGACUGGGAUAACUUCGGGAAACCGGAGCUAAUACCGGAUAAUAUAUUGAACCGCAUGGUUCAAUAGUGAAAGACGGUUUUGCUGUCACUUAUAGAUGGAUCCGCGCCGCAUUAGCUAGUUGGUAAGGUAACGGCUUACCAAGGCAACGAUGCGUAGCCGACCUGAGAGGGUGAUAGGCCACACUGGAACUGAGACACGGUCCAGACUCCUACGGGAGGCAGCAGUAGGGAAUCUUCCGCAAUGGGCGAAAGCUUGACGGAGCAACGCCGCGUGAGUGAUGAAGGUCUUCGGAUCGUAAAACUCUGUUAUUAGGGAAGAACAAAUGUGUAAGUAACUAUGCACGUCUUGACGGUACCUAAUCAGAAAGCCACGGCUAACUACGUG
This 497-nucleotide ribosomal RNA is filed under the name uncultured bacterium. RNAcentral's name for it is "partial 16S ribosomal RNA". It matches the Rfam family "Bacterial small subunit ribosomal RNA", at positions 28 to 507 of the family's 1533-position model. The record is from RNAcentral.